Paramuricea clavata is the source of this 132-nucleotide non-coding RNA. The record is from the annotation of a GenBank genome assembly. Lineage: Eukaryota; Metazoa; Cnidaria; Anthozoa; Malacalcyonacea; Plexauridae.
AAACAGAUUCCGAAAAAUAAGGUCAUCUUGAAAUUCAAGAUAUGAAAUAAUUCAAGAUAUGACGAGUGUAUGUCGUCUUGUUUUAAUUCAUAUCUUGAAUUUCAAGAUGACCUUAUUUUUCGAAAUUUGUUU